Cebus imitator (Panamanian white-faced capuchin) is the source of this 4546-nucleotide RNA transcript. It is a transcript of the gene named heterogeneous nuclear ribonucleoprotein A2/B1, with no coding region annotated. NCBI's taxonomy places the organism in Eukaryota, Metazoa, Chordata, Mammalia, Primates, Cebidae. The record is from RefSeq and is a predicted model, not a curated record. The transcript has 13 exons.
CCCGGGUUGAGGGGGCUGGACCUCCGGGCUGCGGAUUAAGCUCCUCCCGUCGGCGUUAAUUUCAAACUGCGCGACCGUUUCUCACCUGCCUUGCGCCCAAGGCGGGGAGGCGUGGGGGCGGGGAGGCGUGGGGGCGGGACCCUAUUCUGAGAGGUAAUAGCACGCAGGUCUCGAGCCAUCUGCAAUUCACUGAGCACAUUUACGGAAGUAACGUCGGGCACUAUCGUUAGCCGCGAGGUGGGGAGGAGUACGCACUUGGCGUAAGGCGGGGCGUAGAGCCUUCCCGCCAUUGGCGGCGGUUAGGGCGUUUACGCAACGGCCUGACGUAGAGGAAGACGCGUUAGUCGGGGGGGAAGGUUCUAGAAAAGCGGCGGCAGCGGCUCUAGCGGCAGUAGCAGCAGCGUCGGGUCCCGUGCGGAGGUGCCGCUAGCGGUGUUGUUUCUCGAGCAGCGGCAGUUCUCACUACAGCGCCAGGACGAGUCCGGUUCGUGUUCGUCCGCGGAGAUCUCUCUCAUCUCGCUCGGCUGCGGGAAAUCGGGCUGAAGCGACUGAGUCCGCGAUGGAGAAAACUUUAGAAACUGUUCCUUUGGAGAGGAAAAAGAGAGAAAAGGAACAGUUCCGUAAGCUCUUUAUUGGUGGCUUAAGCUUUGAAACCACAGAAGAAAGUUUGAGGAACUACUACGAACAAUGGGGAAAGCUUACAGAUUGUGUGGUAAUGAGGGAUCCUGCAAGCAAAAGAUCAAGAGGAUUUGGUUUUGUAACUUUCUCAUCCAUGGCUGAGGUUGAUGCUGCCAUGGCUGCAAGACCUCAUUCAAUUGAUGGGAGAGUCGUUGAGCCAAAACGUGCUGUAGCAAGAGAGGAAUCUGGAAAACCAGGGGCUCAUGUAACUGUGAAGAAGCUGUUUGUUGGUGGAAUUAAGGAAGAUACUGAGGAACAUCACCUUAGAGAUUACUUUGAGGAAUACGGAAAAAUUGAUACCAUUGAAAUAAUUACUGAUAGGCAGUCUGGAAAGAAAAGAGGCUUUGGCUUUGUUACUUUUGAUGACCAUGAUCCUGUGGAUAAAAUCGUGUUGCAGAAAUACCAUACCAUCAAUGGUCAUAAUGCAGAAGUAAGAAAGGCUUUGUCUAGACAAGAAAUGCAGGAAGUUCAAAGUUCUAGGAGUGGAAGAGGAGGCAACUUUGGCUUUGGGGAUUCUCGUGGCGGCGGAGGAAAUUUCGGACCAGGACCAGGAAGUAACUUUAGAGGAGGAUCUGAUGGAUAUGGCAGUGGACGUGGAUUUGGGGAUGGCUACAAUGGGUAUGGAGGAGGACCCGGAGGUGGCAAUUUUGGAGGUAGCCCUGGUUAUGGAGGAGGAAGAGGAGGAUAUGGUGGUGGAGGACCUGGAUAUGGCAACCAGGGUGGGGGCUACGGAGGUGGUUAUGACAACUAUGGAGGAGGAAAUUACGGAAGUGGAAAUUACAAUGAUUUUGGAAAUUAUAACCAGCAGCCUUCUAACUAUGGUCCAAUGAAGAGUGGAAACUUUGGUGGUAGCAGGAACAUGGGGGGACCAUAUGGUGGAGGAAACUAUGGUCCAGGAGGCAGUGGAGGAAGUGGGGGUUAUGGUGGGAGGAGCCGAUAUUGAGCUUCUUCCUCUUUGCCAUGGCAUUGAUAUGAGCCAUGGACAAGUAUAUUCUGCUGCCACAAAGACUGUAAAGUGCUUCAUUUCAACAGCUGAGGAAGGUGUCUUGCUGCAGGUAACUAAUGAAGAAGUGGUCAACCACAGAGUCUUCAAGAAAUAAGAAAUUCUGUACCAUCUGAAAGUAGUUCUUGUUUGUGCCUUCAUUUAAAAAGCACUCUUUAAAAUAAAAGGGAAAUGUUUUCUGAAACAUUUAGUUCAGGUUCUUGAUAUAAAACGGUUACAAAAUGAGUGUUGUUUGUAAAACAGUAACAUCAACUUGGCUAGAGAGAUAAAUGUAUCAUGUUUUUAAAUUAGGUUUUGUGAGUAGACAGAUUAAAAUUCUAUUUUAAAGUUUAUAAAAUAAAUACUUUUGUAUCCAAAUAUUUGGUGUAAUGUUUACACAUAAAAUGUGUGAAUCUUGUUCUAUAAACAUUUGGUUGUCUAAAAGAUCACCAUCCCCUAAAUUUUUUAAAGCAGUUUCACAAAGCUAUGCAUAUUUUCUUUUAAUAUUUACAGAUAAAUGAGAAGAGCACUGUGGACAUUAUUGGCUGUCCCCAAUAAAAUGCUGUUCAUUAUGCACUGUAUAUUCAGCGUUUGAGUACUCCUAAAGUUCCUGGCUUUACCUUGUAUGUUUAACAGUACUUGGCGUUUGAAAAUCAUGGAUUUUAAAUUAACCUGCCUGAGUGUUCCAGAUUAACUGCCUUUGCAAAGCACUGAGGCUUAAAAUAUGUACUAGAUUGUCAAAUGUCAAUUAGUUUUAUUGUGUUUUACACUGAGUAAAUGAGUAUCUGUUUUUUUUUUUUUUUUUUUUUUUUUUUAAGGCUUUUUAAAUAACGGUGUUUAUUUGGACAUUUACCUGAAUUAAGAAAACCAAAACAAAUAACAAGGGCCAAGUUAAUUGAUUCCAUGGUAAUUUCUUUUGGUUUUGAUAAUUUGAGGUAUCUUAACAGGUAAGUCAAACUAACAGCAGCUAACAAGUAUAAAGCAGCUUUGCAUUUGAAAUCGUAAUGGAAUUAAUCAAUUAGACUUGUACAAAUAGAUCUACUCCAAGAAAGUUAAUUUUGAAGGUUUAAAAAUGUGUGAUGUACAAAGAUGUUGAACGUUGAAAAUACAUCGUUAAUAGUAUGCAUAACCUCAAAAUAGCAACUCUGAUCCAGCACGGUCAAGGGAAUAUCACACAAAUAGGGGAGAAUUAGGUAAUGCACAAUAGGCUGAAAUGAAUUGAUUUAAAGAGGGUUUACUGAAACAUAGGGUAAUGUUGGAUGUUCAACAUAGGCUUAUUUUUUGUAUGUAUUGUGUGUUGAGCCGUUUCUUGAAGUUUAAGAUAGUUCUUGUGGCAGCCUUGAGACAGCACCCUAAAUGAAGAAAGGCUGCCUUUUGCCUAGGGCUUUAUAUUGUUGCUGUGUAACAACUUAGCAGUUUCUCUAAACAAACUUCAUCUAUGUCAGCAGUUGGGAGCAAGUUAACUGAAUCAGGGUAAAGCUCAAGGUUGCAAUCACCAAAAACUAGGAUUGGAGAAUUUUUAUAUCCAGAGUGGCAUACUAACAGGGCUGAAAAAUUAAUGCCGUCAGCUUCCCUUGGUGAGUGACUCAAGCAAGAAAAGCUGUAAAAUGAACACUACAACAUAGUCAUGCCAUCUUGCAUCCUUUAUGGUUACAGAAUGUGGUGGGAGGGUUCUGUCCACUGGUAUAAUUACCAAGCAGCUAGGGAUCAUUGGGAACUGUCUUAGACGCUGGCUGCCACACUCGAGGUGCCCUUAUUAAGUUUUUAUGCACUUCUGUGAAAUGAUCUGUAUGUAUAAGAUUUUCCAUGUAGUCUAAUUUGGUAGAUCAGUGCAAAAUGAGUUGGUUUAAAUCGGCUUGACCUAAUAUUCGUUAGGUGUUAAAAGCUAACAAUGUAAGGCAACAAGUCUCAGUUCAUCAAUGUUGGUUGAAAAGUGCAAAAGGUAGAAAGGCAUGUAUUUCAGGACACCUGGAGUGUGCAUGUUGCUUAAAUUUGCUGAAGAUUUGGAACUAAUGUACUAAGAUGGUUGAUCACACAAUUUUGACAUUUCCAUUAUUUUAGUAAUGAAACUAACAUUGGCUUGUUUUGGGGUGUUGGAGGGGGUUUGAGGGAUAACCAGAGAGGUGUGCGGAUUUACCGGAGAACAAAUUUAAUGGUUCAAAGAUUGAGAUGGGGGAAGAAUGUUCUAGCUACUUGAGUGCGUUUAGGAAAGUUAAGAUUGUUAUCACAAACUUGUAUGCUGCUGCUGUUUUGUGUUCUGAAGAUCUGCUGAACCUAAGCCUGCUUUGAGACCAGGGGACCUCAAGAAAUCUAGAUGGCCUCGUUUGCUUGGAGUUUCUAUGCAAUUGGCCUAAAAUCUGAUAAUGCUUGUGAAGAAGCUCGAGUGAGAAUUUAAAUUGGAAAAGUGUCCCACUUGGGUUGUCUUUAUCUUAUUCAUAAAAUCAAGACAACUCAACUAGGUAGGUAAUGUGGAGAGUCCUAGCCAGCAGUUGUCAGCUUUUGGUCAUUGGCUUUGUCAUCUAGUUGGUUUGCACUAGAAACCUAAUGUGGAAUUUCACGUUUAAAACUGGACUGUCGAUAGAAAAGCAAGCACAUCCAGUUUUUAUGCUUUGAAUCCUGCAUGUUAAGGUGAAGGUGGGGUUGUAUCAUAAAACCAGCCCAUAGUCAUUUAGAUCUUGUGAAGCUGACUUCCUAAUGCACAAAAGUCCCUUGUUCUGGGGGAGGGGGACAUCAGUUUCAGGAACCACCACCAUACCAAAAUAUGGAUGCUCUAGGCCCAUUUUAUGAAAUGUAUUUGCACGUGACCUAAGCAUAUCUCAUAUGAGUGAGUAUAGGUCACUCAAUACUGGUAGAAAGCUGGGCAAAUAGUAUGCUGCAUUACAGUGA